UCCCUGGAGGACUAGUGGUUAGACCAUGGUGCUCUCACCCCUGCAGCCUGGGUUCAAUUCCUGGCCAGGGAA
Molecule: non-coding RNA, 72 nt
Organism: Pangasius djambal
Lineage: Eukaryota; Metazoa; Chordata; Actinopteri; Siluriformes; Pangasiidae
Source: the annotation of a GenBank genome assembly